Molecule: long non-coding RNA, 778 nt
Organism: Aphis gossypii (cotton aphid)
Lineage: Eukaryota; Metazoa; Arthropoda; Insecta; Hemiptera; Aphididae
Exons: 5
Source: RefSeq, a predicted model, not a curated record
ACCCGGUAACAAUACAAAAGUAAACAAUAUUUACAAAAUAAUUUUUUAACAUGAAUUUAAAUUUUAAAAUUUUUAUUGCAUUAGUUUUUGGGUCGGUUGUCACAGCAGGAUUAAUGUUAAGAAAACGAAAAACCCUAAAUGAUGUAAAUGAAUUAGACAAGAAUGAUAAAGACAAGAUAAUACUGGAGGGUCGAGCACUACAAUAUGUAAUAAUUUGUGGUACAUUCGUGGUUGGGAGUAUGAUCGGUUUAUUACCAAUUCGAAUAAUAUACAUCUUCAUGUUAAUUGGAAUAUUUAUAUUUACAUUUGUAAUUGUAAUCUCACCAAAUUAUAAAAUUCGUUUUGUUUUGCUGCAAGGCCGAAUCAUUAUAAAUGUUGAUCUAGGAUUACUACCAGAAGUAAAGGUAAUAAGAUUUAUUCAACUCAGUGGUUAAAUGCGGCGAUCAUACAUACAUAUAUAUAUAUAUAUAUAUAUAUAAUAAGUGAGAAAUUUGGUUAAAACGCUAUCAACUUCCAGCUGACACUCUAUCCCAAAAUAAUGUUGAAUUGUGCGGAAACAUUUUGAAAAAAUUAUGUUUUAAAACUUUUUAGAGAACAGGUUAAAACCAGAUGCUAUAUCUACACUAUUUCCAGAUAAUUGUGACGUGAUUACUACAGACAUGUCUAGUGAGAAAGUUAGAACUUGUACCAGUUCGAGUAAUACUGUGUCUUGUGGCUAAAUACUUCACUAAAAAUUACUGAUGACCCUGGCAAAUAUAUUUUUAUAUUUAUUUUAAAA